GGAAAGGUCACUUAUUUAUUGAUACUGUGUCACAUUUCCCUCAGCCCGGAAUGGCUGUGAGUUUGUGCUCUUCUCAGUGGGGGAUUGGAGAAGGUUUUGGCUGUAAUUAGCAGUCGGAGAAAAAUCCUGCUAAAUAAAAGUGUCUCACCUCUGUCCCCCCUAAGUUAUCCCAGUUUGUCCCAGCUUGGAGCUGCGCAGAAGUCAGGCAGGGGAAAUGACCUCAGGGAUACAGCUGUCAGUUCCAAGGCAGCGAGAGAAGAUGUAGCAGCCAAGGGCAGGGGAGGGGAAAGGUUUCAGAAAGCAUUUCUGUGGUGUAAUGAAUGCCAAUUUCUGCUUGCCCAGGGAGAAGAGGACGAACUCCCAGCCAUUCAGGCCUGACAGUCCCCUGCAGCGAGGGCAUACACUGGAAGAGUUCAGGGUCGAAGACAAGGCUGAGGGAAAAUCCAGGGUAUUUAUAAGGGAUGAUGGGAGGUGGGUCCAGGGUGAGAAUCCAGUGGGUAAAGGGAAAAGUGGUGUAAGGGAGGAGUAAUACAGGGCAGGGGCCGAUAAGGUAGGAUGGGUGGAACAGUGCAGUGAACAUAAACCAGUGGGGGGGGCGGGGGGGUACAGGGAUACAAGAACUUUCCAGAGCUGGGAGGAGACAAGGGAUGACAUAACUGGGAAUAGAGGCAACCAAUGGGAAAUGAGGGUUAUAAAGCUUUACCUUAAAGCUUUGCCAUAAAGAAUUUUUAAAACCUUUGACAACCUUCUUAGGAGCUAUUCUAAACUUAAACAAAUGCCCUCCAAGGUCUGGGGCCAUGGGCCAACUCCUCACCCAAAACACUGGUCUGGCUUGGCAUGUCAGUCAGUCCGAUUCCUACACUGGGCCUCUGCAUGAUAUUCGCCCAGAAGCUGCCUUUCAAGGACUGAAGUGGAACAAAAAGUAUAAAAGAAAUGUCAUUCCCAGAGGGAAAACAGUUUCAUUUCUCUUGUGUCUACUUUUUUUUUUUUUUUUAACAGUUACCUCAAAAUUCCCGGAUCCAGAACAGCUACUCUGAGUUUUGGUAGAGAUUCCAAAGCGGGAUACAGUAGGUUUCAAAGUACACCUUGGAAAAUCAAUCGUUUGUCUGCAGCAUGCAGCAUGUAGGUGUGAUGUCUGUAACUGGUCUUAGUUGAUGCAGAGGUACUUGGAAAAAAACGUUUAAUCUUUCAUCUCUCCCCACCUGCAUUCUUCCUAAGUGUACUUUUUAUUCAGCAGGACUCGGAUGAGAGAGAGAGAGAGAGAGAGAGAGAGGAACUCUCUUCACAUCAGCGUCAAAGGAAAAAGUGUUCAGCGACUUACAGUCCUAGUGACUGUUCUGUGUAAAAGCAGGAUUGUUUUGCCAUCAGACCUUGCGUGCCGUACCAGUCUGUGCGUUAACAGGGCAGCGUCUUAGCCCAGGUCUCGGGGGCUGUGCGGAGGUUGCUCCCUGGAGCAGGGUCCCCCCGUGAGGAGGAGCCAGAGAUUGGGUCACUGGAGCAGGUAAGGAUCUGUUUCCAUUUAGUCCUUGUUUUUGCUGGCUUUAACGUCACGGCUGCAGCGUUCCUUCGGACCUUGUGCCCCGCAGCAGCAGUUCCAGCUGCUGAGCUGGGUGGGGAGCCGUUCUGGGCUGGGGCUUUCAGCCUCCCGGGCGUCCAUUGAAAUCAGCCCUUUGUUUGAUUUCCUUCAGUCUCUGGGGUUUGCCACCCUCGGUGCCACGGGACCGAGCUGUGCGAAGGCUCGAUCCCGUCGGUCCAAAGUCCUGGGCAGCGUUUCCAGCAGCAGGGGCUGGAGGCAUCGGGGGCUGCCUUUGGAGCCUUGUUCUCCCCUUGGCUUUUACAGAGGGUGCCAGACUCUGCCCUUAAGGAUCCAGUGUUGCUUUUGGACGUUGAUCCUGCAGCUGGACAGGCGGUGCAGUGAGGAGCAAGUUGCUGGCUUACGUGAUUUCUGAGUGACCUGUCACAGAAACGGGCAUCUGUGUGUGCAGGUGCUUCCUGGCAAAUCCAGAUGUGACGUGGAAAUCCUAAGGGAGGAGUUCCAGCCUUG
This is a long non-coding RNA of Cinclus cinclus, 2044 nucleotides long. RefSeq lists it as uncharacterized. The record is from RefSeq and is a predicted model, not a curated record. The transcript has 3 exons. Lineage: Eukaryota; Metazoa; Chordata; Aves; Passeriformes; Cinclidae.